AUUGAACGCUGGCGGCAGGCCUAACACAUGCAAGUCGAACGAGUGGCGGACGGGAGAGUAAUGUCUGGGAAACUGCCUGAUGGAGGGGGAUAAAUUCUGAAAACGGUAGCAAAUACCGAAUACCCUCAGAUGUGCCCAGAUGGGAUGGGCUUGUUGGUGGGGUAACGGCUCACCAGGGCGACGAUCCCUAGCUGGUCUGAGAGGAUGACCAGCCACACUGUGACUGAGACACGGUCCAGACUCCUACGGGAGGCAGCAGUGGGGAAUAUUUGACAAUGGGCGCAAGCCUGAUGCAGCCAUGCCGCGUGUGUGAAGAAGGCCUGCGGGUUGUAAAGUACUUUCAGCGGGGAGGCGUUACCAGCAGAAUAAGCACCGGCUAACUCCGUGCCAGCAGCCGCGGUAAUUC
Molecule: ribosomal RNA, 406 nt
Filed under: uncultured bacterium
Lineage: Bacteria
Description: partial 16S ribosomal RNA
Rfam family: Bacterial small subunit ribosomal RNA
Source: RNAcentral